AUUGAACGCUGGCGGCAGGCCUAACACAUGCAAGUCGAGCGGAAACGAGUUAUCUGAACCUUCGGGGAAUGAUAACGGCGUCGAGCGGCGGACGGGUGAGUAAUGCCUAGGAAAUUGCCCUGAUGUGGGGGAUAACCAUUGGGAACGAUGGCUAAUACCGCAUGAUGCCUACGGGCCAAAGAGGGGGACCUUCGGGCCUCUCGCGUCAGGAUAUGCCUAGGUGGGAUUAGCUAGUUGGUGAGGUAAGGGCUCACCAAGGCAACGAUCCCUAGCUGGUCUGAGAGGAUGAUCAGCCACACUGGAACUGAGACACGGUCCAGACUCCUACGGGAGGCAGCAGUGGGGAAUAUUGCACAAUGGGCGCAAGCCUGAUGCAGCCAUGCCGCGUGUAUGAAGAAGGCCUUCGGGUUGUAAAGUACUUUCAGCAGUGAGGAAGGCGGGUACGUUAAUAGCGUGCUCGUUUGACGUUAGCUGCAGAAGAAGCACCGGCUAACUCCGUGCCAGCAGCCGCGGUAAUACGGAGGGUGCGAGCGUUAAUCGGAAUUACUGGGCGUAAAGCGCAUGCAGGUGGUUUUGUUAAGUCAGAUGUGAAAGCUCGGGGCUCAACCUCGGAAUAGCAUUUGAAACUGGCAGACUAAUAGUACUGUAGAGGGGGGGUAGAAUUUUUGGUGUUACCGCAGAAAUGCGUAAACAUCUGAAGGAAAUACCG
Molecule: ribosomal RNA, 709 nt
Filed under: uncultured Vibrio sp.
Lineage: Bacteria; Pseudomonadati; Pseudomonadota; Gammaproteobacteria; Vibrionales; Vibrionaceae
Description: bacterial SSU rRNA
Rfam family: Bacterial small subunit ribosomal RNA
Source: RNAcentral